AUGACAACCAUUCAUUCACAGGAUCAGGAUUAUAAAGCCAGUCUAUGCAACAGUGGGGACCAGGCUUUUUCAUAUGAAACACCAUUAGAGAACAGGAAUCUAAUUCUCAUUUUUGAUGUUGGCCCCAUCAGUAUGGUUAAUGUUGUACUUCCACCAUAUCGGAUGUUUCGGUCUGCAAAGGAAAAAGCGAAGAUCAGGGCAUGACAACUCCUAUCACACCAUUUUCCUGCUGGUUCACAGCUGUCAGUUUCAAAUCCAGGAUCAAUUACAAGAUGGGCCCAGAGAACAAAGAACAUUCUGAGCAAAAAGACUGUUGAAGACGGCAAAGCCGCAGGUAUUUUAAAAAUUGACUUGUAAACCAACUGUGGGCCACUUUGGCAGUACACAAACUCAAGUUGAUGGUGCACCCACUCCUCUGUUUACUUGAGAAAUAGAUACCCUCGGGGAGGAAAAGGUGAUACGUCAGUUCAGGGUGCUUCAGCAUGAAGCUCCAGUGUGAGUGCAAAGGGUCUUUGUCCAGAUAGUCACUGUUUUUGUGAUGAUCUUCCUUGUCAUUGUCCCUAUAGUUAUGUUAUAUAAGAAAAUGUAUCGACCUUUUAUUCAAUAGUUUCUACACUUUAUUUUAAUAUUUCAUCUAAAUAUUCAAACUACAAUUCAACUAGUAAAUAUUAACUAAUAUCAUAAUAUUUCUCUCAAAAAUGAUGUCUUUGAAUUGGAUUCAUAAUAUUCUUUAUCUGAAAUAAUAUUAAUCUAGGAAACAUUCAUAUUUCCU
Molecule: long non-coding RNA, 772 nt
Filed under: Sus scrofa (pig)
Lineage: Eukaryota; Metazoa; Chordata; Mammalia; Artiodactyla; Suidae
Description: lncRNA (ENSSSCG00070020801.1)
Source: RNAcentral